This 430-nucleotide ribosomal RNA is filed under the name uncultured bacterium. RNAcentral describes it as "bacterial SSU rRNA". It matches the Rfam family "Bacterial small subunit ribosomal RNA", at positions 355 to 776 of the family's 1533-position model. The record is from RNAcentral.
UGGGGAAUAUUGCGCAAUGGGGGAAACCCUGACGCAGCAACGCCGCGUGAGUGAUGAAGGCCUUCGGGUUGUAAAGCUCUUUCGGCCGGGAAGAAGGGCACUUGUGCUAACAGUUCAAGUGUUUGAUGGUACCGGAAGAAGAAGCACCGGCUAACUUCGUGCCAGCAGCCGCGGUAAUACGAAGGGUGCGAGCGUUGUUCGGAAUUAUUGGGCGUAAAGGGUUCGUAGGUGGGAACGUAAGUCGAGUGUGAAAUCUCCAAGCUUAACUUGGAACGUGCAUUCGAAACUGCAUUUCUUGAAUAUUGGAGAGGGAAGUAGAAUUCCAGGUGUAGGAGUGACAUCCGUAGAGAUCUGGAGGAAUACCGGAGGCGAAAGCGACUUCCUGGCCAAAUAUUGACACUGAGGAACGAAAGCGUGGGGAGCAAACAGG